Molecule: ribosomal RNA, 495 nt
Filed under: uncultured bacterium
Lineage: Bacteria
Description: partial 16S ribosomal RNA
Rfam family: Bacterial small subunit ribosomal RNA
Source: RNAcentral
GACGAACGCUGGCGGCGUGCCUAAUACAUGCAAGUAGAACGCUGAAGGAGGAGCUUGCUUCGCUGGAUGAGUUGCGAACGGGUGAGUAACGCGUAGGUAACCUGCCUGGUAGCGGGGGAUAACUAUUAGAAACGAUAGCUAAUACCGCAUAAGAGUAGAUGUUGCAUGACAUUUGCUUAAAAGGUGCAAUUGCAUCACUACCAGAUGGACCUGCGUUGUAUUAGCUAGUUGGUGGGGUAACGGCGCACCAAGGCGACGAUACAUAGCCGACCUGGAAGGGGGGUCGACCACACUGGGAAUGGGACACGGCCCAGACUCCUUCGGGGGGCAGCAGUAGGGGAACUUCGGCAAUGGGCGGAAGUCUGACCGAGCAACGCCGCGUGAGUGAAGAAGGUUUUCGGAUCGUAAAGCUCUGUUGUAAGGGAAGAACGGGUGUGAGAGUGGAAAGUUCACACUGUGACGGUAUCUUACCAGAAAGGGACGGCUAACUACGUG